This 1478-nucleotide ribosomal RNA is filed under the name Globobulimina sp. RNAcentral describes it as "eukaryotic LSU rRNA". It matches the Rfam family "Eukaryotic large subunit ribosomal RNA", at positions 987 to 2471 of the family's 3401-position model. Lineage: Eukaryota; Foraminifera; Rotaliida; Buliminidae. The record is from RNAcentral.
AAUUAGAUCUAGUUCUACCCGGUAAAGCGAAUGAUUAGAUGUUUUUGGGUUUUUUAUUUACCUGAGCAUAUUCUCAAACUUUUAAUAGGUAGGAUAUUUGUUGUUGCUUUGUGGAACACAAAUAUGGAAUAGAAUUGUUAAGUGGGCCAUUUUUGGUAAGCAGAACUGGCGAUGCGUGUUGAAACGGUCGUGUGAGUUAAGGUGCCAAAAUUAUCACUUAUCUAGAUACUGCAAAAGAUGUUAUUUCAUUUAGACAGCUGGACGGUGGCCAUGGAAGUCGGAACCCGCUAAGAAGUGUGUAACAACUUACCAGCAUAGUGAAGUAGCUCUGAAAAUGGAUGGCGCUUAAGUGAUAUACCUAAACUCAACCAUAAUUGUUAACAAAUAGUACACAAUUAUGUGUAGGGGAGCGUGGUAUUUCUAGAUAAAAUUGUUUCGUGAGAGACAUUGGAAGAAAUACUAGUGCAGAUCUUGGUGGUAGUAGCAAUGAUUCAAAUGUGAUCUUUGAAGACUGAAGUGGAGAAAGGUUCCAUGGGAAACGUCUUGUUCCAUGGGUUAGUCGAUCCUAAGUUGGUAGCGAAAGCUUGUAAAGGAGUAUGGAUAGUGAAUAUUUUGCGAAAUAUUUAACAAAUGCAUAUUCAUCAACGAAAGGGAAAUAGGUUCAUAUUCCUAUACCCAAAUGAUGCAAAUUGAUUAAGAAUUGGUAACAAAAGGAAUAUCCAAGACAUCUGUUUAGGAUCUCAGAAGAAAUUACUCUUCUUAUUAACAGUUUAUGUGACAUGCAAGUCAUAUUUUUACAUUAGCUAACCCUUUUGUAAACGUAACCCCAUGAAAGCGAAUUAUUCGGAGAUAUGGUGUUAUAACUGGGAUAGGUGAGGCCUUGCGCUUUGUGAAAUCAUACGAUUUCAUCUCACUUGAGAACUCCUAAAAGGAUCCUUGAAAAUUGGAUAGACUGCUUAUGCAUUGUCAUCAUGGUUCGUACUCAUAACCGCAUCAGGUCUCCAAGGUGAAUAGCCUCUAGUUUAUAGAAGAAUGUAGGUAAGGGAAGUCGGCAAAAUAGAUCCGUAACUUUGGGAAAAGGAUUGGCUCAAUGGGUUGAUGUAUAACAACCACCAUUGAACUGAAACGGACAAGAGGAAUCCGACUGUUUAAUUAAAACAAAGCAUUGCGAUGGUCCGCAAAGGAUGUUUACGCAAUGUGAUUUCUGCCCAGUGCUUUGAAUAUCAACGUGGAGAAAUUCAACUAAGUAGUGGUCAACGGCGGGAGUAACUAUGACUCUCUUAAGGUAGCCAAAUGCCUCGUCAUCUAAUUAGUGACGCGCAUGAAUGGAUUAAUGAGAUUCCUACUGUCCCUAUCUACGAUCUAGCGAAACCACAGCCAAGGGAACGGGCUUGGAAGUGUCAGCGGGGAAAGAAGACCCUGUUGAGCUUGACUCUAAUCUGACUUUGUGAAGUGGCUUAGGAGGUGUAGCAUAAGUG